CACGUAGGGGGCGAGCGUUGUCCGGAUUUAUUGGGCGUAAAGAGCUCGUAGGCGGCUCGGUAAGUCGGGUGUGAAAACUCGGGGCUCAACCCCGAGACGCCACUCGAUACUGCUGUGGCUAGAGUCCGGUAGGGGAGCGUGGAAUUCCUGGUGUAGCGGUGAAAUGCGCAGAUAUCAGGAGGAACACCGGUGGCGAAGGCGGGUCUCUGGGCCGAUACUGACGCUGAGGAGCGAAAGCGUGGGGAGCGAACAGG
RNAcentral lists this ribosomal RNA (254 nucleotides) under uncultured bacterium. RNAcentral describes it as "partial 16S ribosomal RNA". It matches the Rfam family "Bacterial small subunit ribosomal RNA", at positions 524 to 776 of the family's 1533-position model. The record is from RNAcentral.